This is an RNA transcript of Olea europaea var. sylvestris, 3236 nucleotides long. RefSeq lists it as uncharacterized. The transcript has 5 exons. NCBI's taxonomy places the organism in Eukaryota, Viridiplantae, Streptophyta, Magnoliopsida, Lamiales, Oleaceae. The record is from RefSeq and is a predicted model, not a curated record.
UAGCCGAGUCAUUUAACUUCCAUUUUCAUUUUCAUUGGUGAUAUGAAUUAUAGGGCCCCUACAAGAGGUACGUUGGUCAAUACUGAAAUGGUUGCUUGUUUUAUGUUAUUUAUCUUCCAUAACUGGCGCCAUUCUAUUGGAGAAACCAUUGGAAGCAUAAGCUCAUUGGAAACAUUUUAUACCUUAUGGUGCUCCUCCGCUUGUACAGCACCUGUGCAGCCUCGCAAUUAUGGUCCUUUUAUAACUUCUUCUCCCCCUUCAAGCAAACCUUUUUCGAAACCACUACUGAAGAAGAACGGAUCAGUGUCCAGUGCCAAUCACCCACUUCCAAGCUUGUCAGAGACUGCACCAGCUCAAUCUGAACCUAGCAUUUUACCCACUGGUUUAGCUCAGCCACAACUGUCUGCUAACUUCUCUAGUGAUGUUAUAAUUCCAGACCAGUUUGUGUUGCUAGUCACCAAAAAGAAAAGAAAGAAACCGCCACCACUCCCAAAGAGAAAUAAAGAAUGUAACUAUAUUUUUUUCUUCAAUACAGCUCCUCUAUCUGCUGCGUCUCCAACAGAAGAACCUACACACCUUUCAACAACUCCAGCAGCACUUGUCAAUUCAAACAAAACAAACCGCACAAGUUUAGUUCUUAUAAUUGGUAUUGGAGCCACUAUCCUCAUUGUUGCGGUCGUAUCCGUCUUUGUAAUUUGUUCAUGCACAACACGUCAAAGGAAGGAAAACAAGCCUUUUAAAGAAAUAGGUUUGUAAGUCAUUGCAUUUCUUUCCCUUUUGAGUUGUUGGGGUUGUGUUGAACAGGCUAAAUAAAUUCUAAGAUGGAUAUUUCCUUAUAAACAUGGUUCAUAUGUCUUUUAUCAAAUUUCACCUUCUCAUCUAUUAAUUUUUUCAAAUAGCAAAGCAAAGACGGUAGAUACAGUUCCAGCGGGUGGAUCUCUUUGCCAUAUAACCAGUACAAGGUUUCUCACCUUUGAAGAACUAAAAGUGUUGAAGAUACCGAAAGAUUAUUGGAGAUUUGAUGGAUUAUUUAUUUCCUUAUAUGUCAAUUUAUUAUAGUUAACAUAAUAUUCUUUCCUUAGUUGUAGAUACAGGAUAUAUUUACUAUUUUGGUAUGUAUUCUACUCCUAUAUACGAAUUGUACACGGCUGGAAUAAAGACAUAGCAGUUUUCUCUCUUUUAUGGUCUCUCCAUUCUACUCCUUGCCCGGUUUCAUGGUUUAGAGCCUAGGUUCUUGAGUAGGUAGGAUGGAAAAAUUGACCAUGACAGGUGCACGCAGAGAUGAUGAAUCGAGGUCCACUACAGCCAUCUUUGAACCCAUCUCUACAAGUGCACCCAUGACCUCAAAUUACCUUCCCAUGGCUGAAAAUACUUCCCUUCAUCUCACCAUCACCCAACCAAACAACAAGAACUAUUUGCAAUGGUCUCGAACUGCUCUCAUGGUGAUUCGUGGCCGUGGACGCUUUGGAUACGUGACUGAAACUAAACCAAAACCGAAUGAAGAUGAUCCUGCAUAUGCAACCUGGGAUGCUCAGAAUUCCAUGGUUAUGGCUUGGAUAGUCAAUUCAAUGGAAGAGGAUAUUAGGGGAUCUUAUCCGUAUUAUUCAACGGCAAAGGAACUCUGGGAUGCCAUUGCAGUAGCUUUUUCAGACUCGGAAAAUUCUGCCCAACUGUUUGAGCUCCGAAACAGAGCUCGAAAUGUUCGCCUAAGGAGAAUCGGAUGUCACACAGUAUUACAAUUCCUUGCAACGGCUAUGGAGAGAGAUCGACAUCUUCGUGCAAAUUAACUGGGAUACACCUAAGGAUGUUGAACAGUACAAGAAGCAGGCGGAGAAUGAGAGAAUAUAUGAUUCUCUGACCGGAUUGGUCCCUGAAUUAGAUGAAGUUCGUGGAAGACUACUGGGUAUGAAGCCAACCCCUGCAAUUAAAGAAAUCUUUGCAGAAGUGCACAGGGAGUCCAGUCGAAAACGUGUAAUGCUUGGAGACUCCAAGCAAUCUUUGGUGGAAACCUCUGCCCUUGCUGCUCGUGGACAAGAACCAUCACGGGUAGCCAAAAAAAUAACACUUGGUGCGAACACUAUAAGAGAUCCAACCAUUCAACCGACCGGUGCUAGGUUCUUCAUGGCCGACCUCUCAACCGAAACCAAUGGACCCGAAGUGAUGUGAGACCAAAUCUGGUUUACUGCAAGGAGACUGAGAUGCAUAACUCGUUCGGUCUGCAGAGUUCGGCCGAAUCACCGGUCACAACCCACUCGUCGGCUGCAACCCAAUCAGCGAACAUCUCUGUCUCUCUCUUACCAAAGACCAGCUUGAGAAAAUAUAUAGACUUCUCAAUCCUUCAGUCUCAACAUCCAGUUUAGUGGCAGAAAGAGGACCUGACUUCGGGGAAGAAGAUUGACAUUGCUAAGGAAUGUGGGGACUAUACUAUUUUCAAGAAGACGCUUACUGGAAUAAAUAAGUGCACACUGCAAGUUGCGAGUCUAUCUCUCGAGAACGGAAAAUAAUGUUGUGGCAUCGUCGUUUAGGGAAUUUGGGAUUAAGCUGUCCAUUGGAUUGGGACACUAGAACGAAAAUUGCUGUUGACGCUAUUAGAGGACUUGCAUACUUACAGGAGGACUCACAACCUUGCGUUAUUCAUCGAGAUUUUAAAGCAUCGAAUAUAUUGCUUGAGAACAACUUUCAUGCUAAAAUUUCUGAUUUUGGCCUUGCAAAAUAGGCCCCUGAAGGCAGGCAAAACUACCUGUCUACACGUGUUAUGGGAACCUUUGGGCUAGGCCAAUACUUAGAGAUAAGGAUUGAUUGGAAGAACUUGCUGAUCCAAGGCUUGAGGAUAAAUAUUCGAGGAAAGAUUUUUUGCGGGUUUGCACGAUAGCAGCAGCUUGUAUAGUCCCUGAGGCAAGCCAACGGCCAACAAUGGGAGAAGUGGUACAUUUACUUAAAAUGGUGCAGCGGAUUACAGAGUAUAACGAUUCUGCUGUAGCAUCCAAUACUGCUUCCAAUCUUAGGCAAUUGUCCGUGACUUUUGAAUCAGAUAUAUCAUAGUUAUUCUCUUCUGGUCGGUAUUCUGGUUUAAGUCAUUUUUACAAUGAUAAGGUUGUAUUUUCUGAAGAUCUUCAUGAAGGUAAGUAGGGUAGUAUUUUUAUCUAGUUUAUUCUGUAUGUUUAUGGUGUCCGGGAUAAUGAUGUCUGUAAGUCUUACAUCAUCUCUUGUAGAGAAUGAUUCUUCAAUUUUUCUAG